Long non-coding RNA from Rosa rugosa (rugosa rose), 1144 nucleotides. RefSeq lists it as uncharacterized. Lineage: Eukaryota; Viridiplantae; Streptophyta; Magnoliopsida; Rosales; Rosaceae. The record is from RefSeq and is a predicted model, not a curated record. The transcript is spliced from 2 exons.
UAAGUCAAAGAUAAUGUCCCUAAUGAAUCACAAGUCACAACAUGCAUAUCCAUUAGAAUCGGAGAGGAUUCCAUGCACCGUCGGGUCACUUGCACCAGCAGUGUGCAAGUCACGUGCGCUGUUAGUUCGUAGGCUCCGUUCGUUGGUCGUUCGUCGGUGAAGAAAAGUCAAACGAAGACCAAAGAAAGCGAAGUGCAGUAGAAAUAAAAUUUACCACAACCGGAUAGCUUUGGCCCCCCCAAAACCUAAUUGAUAAAUCCGAACCUCAACCCAUCCUUGGAGUGGAAUCGUCGAGGUCGCGAUAGAGCAGAGGUCGUGGUAAUCGAAUUCCGGCAAUCUGGUUUCGUAGUGAGUAUCGGAUCUCCACCUCCCUCCCUCCCGACAAGAGCAAGGGAUAGGGGCUAUAUAUGCCGACUGCGGAUAAGUAUUACAUACCUUGUAUCUAUAGUCUUGAAUUUCCUUGUAGAUCUUUCAGUCUUAAAUUUCUGGCUAAAAGUAUAUCCUGACUUCAACUCGAUCAAGAAAAUGGUUACUACUGAGGAAAUGUAAACGUAGAAGGUUGUUGCCAGAUAAUCUGGUAUGUGUUAACAACUUACUGACUUGGUUUGAUUGGAUGCAUGUAUAUGAGCAUGUUUGAUUUUGAGGAUUUAGUUCAUUUUGCUUGCUUCACAUAUAACAAUUGUAGGAGAUUAAUCUGCUGGAAGUACAAUCAUGGAUUCACCUUAUCAACUAAUCCGUUUGAUCCAAAUGUUGAUAAAAAGCAGAGGAUUUAUGCAGGCAAAGAAAGAGACUGCUGGAGGUUAAAAGGUGGUAGUUUGCGUAUGUAACUUGAUUGCUGGAAGCCCCACUCCCUGCUGAAUUCGUUUUUGCAGAAGAGUCUUAGUUUAAUCACUAUUUGUUAAAACAAUUUUAUUCCUUUCAAAAAUAUAUGCAAUGUCAUUGUAUAAUAUAAUAAAGUAAGCUCAUGUUAAGGGUUUAAAAUAUUUAAGCAGACAAUAAGAUUCCAUUGUGUUUUUAGUGUAGAAAUUGCAAUUCAAAAUGCUCAGUAUGUUGUCUUUUAAGGAGAGUUGCAGAAAACGGGAUUCUGAUGUUGUAUUGUGAGUGAAAUUGAAGUUCUCGCCAUUGAUAGAGCUCUUGUGAACCA